UUACAGAUGAAGGAAUGUUUUAUAGUAAUUUAAUUGGCUCUUAUAGCUGAAUUAUUUCUUGGUUAGAAGUUUGGGCAUAUAACCAGAUUAAAAUGAAGGAACCUCCCAUUGUUUUCAUAGCACCGCUCAGCUGUCCUUGUAAACAGUGAACACACGCUUUCCAGUUCUAGUAAUCCUGGGUGUUUAUCAUGUUCAGAGAAACUCAAGCUAUUGCAUGAUUAGCCCCCUGUUUGGCAAGGGAACCCCAUACAAAGGAGACACCAAGCCUGCACCGCCCCUUCAUCCUGGGUCGCCUGUGGUUGUAACUCAGCAUGUUUCGCAGAGUAGAUCUGUCGUGACUUUGCUUUUGGGUCCUAUGUCAUUGGUUUCUGAUGCUUCUAUACACAUGCACACAAAUGGAGAAAACAGAACCUGUGGCUGCUGCAUUGCCCUAGACUAUAACAUAUGCCUACUUUUCUCAAAUGCUUCAUUUCUGGUUUCUCUUAGUUCUUCUCUAACAUAGUACUUUCUUUCCAGCAAAAGCAAAAUGUGUUUUCAGAUUUGUUACUUUAGUAAAUUAUCUCUACCAAUAAAAAAUCGU
Molecule: long non-coding RNA, 580 nt
Filed under: Androctonus crassicauda
Lineage: Eukaryota; Metazoa; Arthropoda; Arachnida; Scorpiones; Buthidae
Source: RNAcentral